UGCCAGCCGCCGCGGUAAUACGAAGGUGGCAACCGUUGCUCGGAUUCACUGGGCAUAAAGCGCGCGUAGGUGGCUCGACAAGUCAAUGGUGAAAGACCCCGGCCCAACCGGGGAAGUGCCGUUGAAACUGUCUUGCUUGAGGACGGGAGGGGAGAGUGGAACUCUUGGUGUAGCGGUGAAAUGCGUAGAUAUCAAGAGGAACGCCGGUGGCGAAAGCGACUCUCUGGACCGUUCCUGACACUGAGGUGCGAAAGCUAGGGGAGCAAACAGGAUUAGAUA
This 279-nucleotide ribosomal RNA is filed under the name uncultured bacterium. Its description in RNAcentral is "partial 16S ribosomal RNA". It matches the Rfam family "Bacterial small subunit ribosomal RNA", at positions 506 to 784 of the family's 1533-position model. The record is from RNAcentral.